RNAcentral lists this small nuclear RNA (23 nucleotides) under Arabidopsis thaliana (thale cress). Its description in RNAcentral is "snRNA_15502". The record is from RNAcentral. Lineage: Eukaryota; Viridiplantae; Streptophyta; Magnoliopsida; Brassicales; Brassicaceae.
AUCUCCUAACAAGCAGUCAAUAA